CCUACGGGAGGCAGCAGUGGGGGAUAUUGCACAAUGGGGGAAACCCUGAUGCAGCGACGCCGCGUAGGUGAAGAAGUAUUUCGGUAUGUAAAGCCCUAUCAGCAGGGAAGAAAGAAGACGGUACCUGACUAAGAAGCCCCGGCUAACUACGUGCCAGCAGCCGCGGUAAUACGUAGGGGGCGAGCGUUAUCCGGAUUCACUGGGUGUAAAGGGAGCGUAGACGGCCGUGCAAGCCAGGAGUGAAAGCCCGGGGCCCAACCCCGGGACUGCUCUUGGAACUGUGCGGCUGGAGUGCGGGAGGGGCAGGCGGAAUUCCUGGUGUAGCGGUGAAAUGCGUAGAUAUCAGGAGGAACACCGGCGGCGAAGGCGGCCUGCUGGACCGCGACUGACGUUGAGGCUCGAAAGCGUGGGGAGCGAACAGGAUUAGAUACCCUAGUAGUC
RNAcentral lists this ribosomal RNA (441 nucleotides) under uncultured bacterium. Its description in RNAcentral is "partial 16S ribosomal RNA". It matches the Rfam family "Bacterial small subunit ribosomal RNA", at positions 338 to 795 of the family's 1533-position model. The record is from RNAcentral.